GUCUGGCCUGCCCACUGAUAAUUUUUAAGGGCCGCGGUAAUUUGACCGUGCGAAGGUAGCAUAAUCAGUAGUCUUUUAAUUGGAGGCUGGAAUGAAAGGUUGGACAAGGGGGAAUCUGUCUUUUUUACAAUUUUUGAAUUUUACUUUUAAGUGAAAAGGCUUAAAUGGGCUGGGGGGACGAUAAGACCCUAUAAAAUUUUACAAAAUUGGAAUUUUUAUUUGAAUUAGGGUUUAAAUUCUAUGAUUUCUUGUUUGUUGUGUUGGGGCGACAAAGAUAAAAGUUAGUAACUGUCAUUUAAGUAGAAUAAGUAUAAUUAGUUUAGUUGAUCCUUUAUUAGAGAUUAAAAGAUUAAGUUACUUUAGGGAUAACAGCGUAAUUUUCCUUGAGAGUUCUUAUCGACAGGAGUAGUUGCGACCUCGAUGUUGAAUUAAGAUUUCUUUUAAGUGUAGCAGCUUAAUAAGUGGGUCUGUUCGACCCU
RNAcentral lists this ribosomal RNA (479 nucleotides) under Pandalus japonicus. Its description in RNAcentral is "partial 16S ribosomal RNA". It matches the Rfam family "Bacterial large subunit ribosomal RNA", at positions 1852 to 2588 of the family's 2925-position model. Lineage: Eukaryota; Metazoa; Arthropoda; Malacostraca; Decapoda; Pandalidae. The record is from RNAcentral.